RNAcentral lists this ribosomal RNA (269 nucleotides) under uncultured Rhodobacterales bacterium. RNAcentral describes it as "partial 16S ribosomal RNA". It matches the Rfam family "Bacterial small subunit ribosomal RNA", at positions 505 to 774 of the family's 1533-position model. Lineage: Bacteria; Pseudomonadati; Pseudomonadota; Alphaproteobacteria; Rhodobacterales. The record is from RNAcentral.
GUGCCAGCCGCCGCGGUAAUACGGAGGGGGCUAGCGUUGUUCGGAAUUACUGGGCGUAAAGCGCACGUAGGCGGAUCAGAAAGUUGAGGGUGAAAUCCCGGGGCUCAACCUCGGAACUGCCUUCAAAACUAUUGGUCUUGAGUUCGAGAGAGGUGAGUGGAAUUCCGAGUGUAGAGGUGAAAUUCGUAGAUAUUCGGAGGACACCAGUGGCGAAGCCGGCUCACUGGCUCGAUACUGACGCUGAGGUGCGAAAGCGUGGGGAGCAAACA